UACGGAGGGUGCGGGCGUUGUCCGGAAUCAUUGGGCGUAAAGGGCGCGUAGGUGGCCCGGUCAGUCUUUGGUGAAAGCGCGGGGCUCAACCCUGCGUCGGCCAGGGAUACUGCCGCGGCUCGAGCACUGUAGAGGCAGGCGGAAUUCCGGGUGUAGCGGUGGAAUGCGUAGAGAUCCGGAAGAACACCGGUGGCGAAGGCGGCCUGCUGGGCAGUUUAGCUGACACUGAGGCGCGACAGCGUGGGGAGCAAACAGG
Molecule: ribosomal RNA, 256 nt
Filed under: uncultured bacterium
Lineage: Bacteria
Description: partial 16S ribosomal RNA
Rfam family: Bacterial small subunit ribosomal RNA
Source: RNAcentral